Long non-coding RNA from Xyrauchen texanus (razorback sucker), 1150 nucleotides. RefSeq lists it as uncharacterized. The transcript is spliced from 4 exons. NCBI's taxonomy places the organism in Eukaryota, Metazoa, Chordata, Actinopteri, Cypriniformes, Catostomidae. The record is from RefSeq and is a predicted model, not a curated record.
AAGGAAUUUGUCUAGGUGACAGGAGCUACCAGUCAACAACAAUACAAACAAUACCAAAAAACAGCAGCAAGACAUAGGUAAUUAAAAACAAAAAAGAACACAAAAUAAAUAAUUAUACAUAUACGUACAUACACUCACCUUCAUACAUACCCACAUACACACACGUAGUGCAAAUCUAAUACAAUCUGUAUAUAAAGAACAAAAAACAGUAUAUUAUGUACAGAGCAAUGUAAGUAAAAGCAGAUAAACCUCACAGUUUGAGUGUAUGGUGAAGCUAGAAUUAAUAAGACCGCAGUUAUAGGCUUGUUACUUUAAUAGCCCGACGUUCCUGGGGACUCGGCUAAGGUUAUUCAUGUUUAAUGUAACUCAAAUCAAAUGAAAACAGUUAUUGUAGGCAGGUAAGUUUCCCUAGCUGGUCCCCUCUGUGUAAAAUGCGUUCUUAUUCAAGUUUUCAACUCAGUCAUUCGUUUAAGAUGCAAUCUUGUGUUAUAAGUAUUAGGCUAUCAUGAUUAUACAGUGAGCAAGCUAUAUAAAUAAGUAUUUAAUAUAAUAAAAGUGUAGAGCAACAACCGAGGGUGUAAGGUAAAGGCUGAAUAUUGUAGAUUUAUUACAAUAUGUUGCAUGUUUGAAUUAAAAUACCUGUGGAUAUGCAGGAGCACACACUCUACAAAGGCCUGACUGGAGAUUUGCCUGAUCUAUCCGUCCUUCAGAUGACAGCGGCUCGCUUCAAGAGCAGGUGAAGCAAGUUGGGACAAUGUUGAAGACAUUUGCUCGCACUGGGCAAUCGGGUGCAGAUCAAACCCUAAUGCUGCGACGUCUUGGAAUUUGGCGAUGUUGUGCGUAGCAUGGACGACAAAAUGCUAUGCUGCAACGUUUCAGUGCCAAUGUGUCUGUUGGAGAGUUAUCCUUGCCAGGGGAUCUGUUACUCCCCCCUAGACACCCAGGAAGAUUUGGCGUCGCUUGACAACAGUUUGAGGCAGGAUAAAGAGCUCCAGCAAUGAUUUCUUCGGUUUUUGGCAAUCAAAUGUGGGAGGGACCUAAAGACAACCGUGUGGCGAAUGCUUCAGAGUAUCUUCUCUAAUCACCUUUCCAUCAAUACAACCUGGACUGGUGUAGGGGAUAAAGCAUGUUUUAGAGACAUGUUCCUGAA